Molecule: ribosomal RNA, 497 nt
Filed under: uncultured bacterium
Lineage: Bacteria
Description: partial 16S ribosomal RNA
Rfam family: Bacterial small subunit ribosomal RNA
Source: RNAcentral
GAUGAACGCUGGCGGCGUGCCUAAUACAUGCAAGUCGAGCGAACAGACGAGGAGCUUGCUCCUCUGACGUUAGCGGCGGACGGGUGAGUAACACGUGGAGAACCUACCUAUAAGACUGGGAUAACUUCGGGAAACCGGAGCUAAUACCGGAUAAUAUAUUGAACCGCAUGGUUCAAUAGUGAAAGACGGUUUUGCUGUCACUUAUAGAUGGAUCCGCGCCGCAUUAGCUAGUUGGUAAGGUAACGGCUUACCAAGGCAACGAUGCGGAGCCGACCUGAGAGGGUGAUCGGCCACACUGGAACUGAGACACGGUCCAGACUCCUACGGGAGGCAGCAGUAGGGAAUCUUCCGCAAUGGGCGAAAGCCUGACGGAGCAACGCCGCGUGAGUGAUGAAGGUCUUCGGAUCGUAAAACUCUGUUAUUAGGGAAGAACAAAUGUGUAAGUAACUAUGCACGUCUUGACGGUACCUAAUCAGAAAGCCACGGCUAACUCCGUG